UAAUGGCAGGUCAGCAUACUGCCGUGAAUACGUUCCCGGGCCCUUGUACACACCGCCCGUCACACCAUGAGAGUUGGGGAUACCCGAAGCCUGUGAGCUAACUUAUAGAGGCAGCAGUCGAAGGUAGAAUCAAUGAUUGGGGUGAAGUCGUAACAAGGUAUC
RNAcentral lists this ribosomal RNA (162 nucleotides) under uncultured bacterium. RNAcentral's name for it is "partial 16S ribosomal RNA". It matches the Rfam family "Bacterial small subunit ribosomal RNA", at positions 1339 to 1500 of the family's 1533-position model. The record is from RNAcentral.